This 459-nucleotide long non-coding RNA is filed under the name Olea europaea (common olive). RNAcentral describes it as "long non-coding RNA (OEUR_LNC013498)". The record is from RNAcentral. Lineage: Eukaryota; Viridiplantae; Streptophyta; Magnoliopsida; Lamiales; Oleaceae.
CAAAAUACAGUGUUGACGCAAACAAACAUAAAUUUCUUGUUAUAAUAUCAAGAUUGCCUUGAGUACAUACCUUGUGGAUAUUUUCUACAUCUGCAUCACAACCUCGAGAUUUCUGCACCAGGGCUCCACUUCCUGCAAUAAGAGAAAAAUGCUGAAGAGAAGAAAGAAGAAAAAUAUGAAGCUUGAAGAGUUUUAAUUAAGAAAGUACUUGUAAUUGGGACUGCAUUAAUCAUUAAUAUAAGUUGAGACAAACAGACAAGAAUGACUACUAGGCGAAUUGAAAUGCAAGCCAUUUCCCAAUUUCUUAGUCUUCCUGUAAAGCAAAUAAGUGUUCAAUUUAUACAUUUUUAGUUUGGACAUUGGGAAGUUGGGCACUAAGGGAGUUUGUGGUGUCAGGUUAUGUCAAUAACAUUGUAGUCAAAAGGGUGUCUCCUGAUCAAGUUUGUUUUUAAGUUGAAG